GGGUGAAAGUGGAUUUUUGCCUUUGGCAACUGUAUUUGUGACACAAAAAGGAUGUGGUACACAACAAAAAGGAGCAAAGGAAAAGAAACUCA
Etheostoma spectabile (orangethroat darter) is the source of this 92-nucleotide long non-coding RNA. RefSeq lists it as uncharacterized. The transcript has 3 exons. Lineage: Eukaryota; Metazoa; Chordata; Actinopteri; Perciformes; Percidae. The record is from RefSeq and is a predicted model, not a curated record.